CCUAUUUGAGUUGGAAUAAACAAAUUACAUGGGAUGUUGUCUUUGCUAAUUGAGCAAAAUCGAAGAAAUAUUAAGGAAACCUCAAUUACAAUUCCAACACUUGAUCCAUAUCCCAUAUAUGUAGGAAACCAUUUUUAGAUGCUGAUGUCACUACCCAUCUUCCAGUGACAUCACAAGUUAUGGAUGUCACAAUGUUUGACUACAAGGAGAAAAUUUUUAUAUUCGAUUUGGUUCCAAUGAUAUGUUCAUAAGUUCAUAAUUUGGAUUUUGUUAACACAAUAAGAAUGCCAUUUUUUGGUUUGUAUGUCUUCCAUAAUUGAAUUAAAAAGUUUAAAAAACAAAA
Diorhabda carinulata is the source of this 343-nucleotide long non-coding RNA. RefSeq lists it as uncharacterized. The transcript has 2 exons. The record is from RefSeq and is a predicted model, not a curated record. Lineage: Eukaryota; Metazoa; Arthropoda; Insecta; Coleoptera; Chrysomelidae.